AUGCUUUGUCUCUGCUCUUCUUUGGACUAAUGGUAUAUCUUUCCUCCUCAGCAAAUGAGGAGGAAAGAUAUACCAUUAGUCCAAAGAAGAGCAGAGACAAAGCAUA
Non-coding RNA from Pelobates cultripes (western spadefoot toad), 106 nucleotides. The record is from the annotation of a GenBank genome assembly. Lineage: Eukaryota; Metazoa; Chordata; Amphibia; Anura; Pelobatidae.